AAUAUAUUUUCUAGCAUCUAUUUAAAGAUGGCUCCUGUAACAUGCUCAUUUGAGGUUGUGUCAUCAGAUUAUUCUAUACAAUAUCAGAUUGUAUACAAUACAAAUAAAAAAACGAACAAUCAUUCUUCGUAAAAUAAAUAACGUUACAAAUAAGGAUUGACAUAAUGAACGGCAGAGAUAUUCAUUUAUUACAGAAAUUGAAUUCUGCCUUUGCUGAAGAAAAUUGGGACGAGUUAUUGAAUCUUCUCAAUCCAAAAAUAUUUAGAUCUUUUGAAUCGAAGGAAUUAAUUGCCUUUCCAGUCUUGGCAAAAGUAGCACAAAUUCUUACAACCGAAGACUCUGUCGUCCCAAACGAUAUAAAGAUUGGUUGCUUAAAAUGCCUAGGAAAUUCUUGUUUUAAUAGUUAUGUACACCAACAAUAUAUUUCAACUACAAUCGAGCGAGGGACAUACAGUCACGAUUUAUAUCGCGUUCUAGCAAGUAACGAAAAUUUAGAAGAGAUUGAGAAUUCUAGCUCUUAUCCAUUCGAUUCUCAUUUUCCUUACGAGGGUGUUGUAGGAUGGACAUCGAACGUUAUUACAGCAUUUCACUGUAAAUUCGAUAGCGAUCUGUCGGAUGAAAAGUUGGAAAUUUUAAGAUUAAGUAUCCAGUUCCUAUGUAAUCUGUUUACAUUUGCGUGUAAAGAUAGUAACUUUCCAGAUCAAUAUAAUAUACUACAAUUUUUAUACAAUACUGAUUUAAAGGAUGUAAUAAUAACUAUGACACAUUCUAAACAUAUCCCAAUUGUUAGAGCUUCGUGUGCAUUUGUACAUAAUGCUUUGAAGGAAUUUGAAGGAAAAACUUUCUUGGAAGGAGAAAAAAAACGUUUAUGUUCACAAUUAUUGAAAGCAACUAAAGAAGGUUUUGAAAGUGCAAAGGAGGCCCUGAUGCUUUUAUUAUUUGAAAAGGACAUACUGCGAAGCGUGUACUGCGAUAUGACUAUCGAAAAUAAAUUAUGUUUAUUAGAAAUAAUUUAUAACGAACUCUCAAAUUCAAUGCACAAAUUUGGAAACGAAUACAAAUUUACGAAGGAUGCGAUUGAAUUUUUAAUUAAAAGAUUUUGUAGAAAAAGUGAUUUGAUUUUGAAGACAGUGGAUACAUGUUUAGAUGAAAUAGAACCUACGGAAAUUGUCAUUCUUCUUGAUAUUCUUGGAGCCUUGACUUCAAGAUCUUGCGAAGAAUGUAGUUUUCUAAAGGAUCAGAAGAGCUUGCUUAUUAAUUGUAGCUAUCUAUUAAAGUCCAUUCAAACGAUUGGAAAACUAUCAGAUAAUUAUUUCACGCCGCUACAAAAGUUGAGCGACGUAGCUUCAGCGAUACAAGGGUCAACAACGAAAAGUGAUUUACAAAGUCAUCCUACAUUUGGUUUUAAAGCUGGUUUAAUAAGGAUUAUUGGAAAUAUGUCAUACAGAAAUAAGGAAUAUCAAGAUCUUCUUCGAGAAAUGGACGUCGUACCUCUGCUUCUGGACUGCUGCAAUAUAGACGCGAGAAAUCCACUUAUAAUGCAAUGGACGAUCCUUGCGCUGCGGAAUUUAUGCGAGGAUAAUCCGGCGAAUCAAGAGAUCAUCCGGAAUUGCAACAGAGUCGGCGUCGUGGAGAGCAGCGUGCUGCAGGAAAUGGGUGUCGCGCUGCACGAGGACGAGGAAGGAAAGAAAAUUGGAAUCGUGCCCUUGCCGCGUGAACGAAAAUAACAGACUUUAUCGAAGAUCUUUCACACGGAGCCUCUUUGGCGAAGUCUCUCUUCGUUUUUAUCCAUUGGCUCGAAAGAGGGCGUGGAAUCGUCGAUGUCCGCCGACGUGGCUACACGGGACCCUGUUCCACGGGCUAUGGUCUACCGCGUGGACACGCGGACCCGGAUCGGCCCAGCCUCCGUAGUCCUCGCCGAAUUUAUAACGCGCCACGAAUAGUUCCGUGUUCCACGCGGCCGCUCUUCUCACGCUUCGCGCCACCCGGACACGGCCACCACCGUGGUACACGUGUUUGCGUGUCGACCUUACCGAGUAGCCCCGGUUUCCACGACUCUCUGAUCGACCAUCCUCCGAGGAUCGGGUUAGGUACGAUGUGCCGUCCACCAUUGAUCUUCUUCGACCAUGGGUUCGUGAGAUCCAGGUUUCAGAGUUCCGAGUCUAUCGGAGAAGGAUGCCGACCUUUUGAAAGAAUUCAUAUCGUUACGACGUAGCUGCUAGGAGGAUUUAUACGCAUAGCUAUCUCGAAAGAUCGUCGCGUAUUUUUAUUUUAAACGAGAAGCACGGAACCUGAACCGAACCCAUUUUGAACCGAACCGAAGAAAUUUUGCCUCGUCUCGAACGAGACUCGCGACAACCAACUACCUGACGGAUUAACGGAUUGCCGGCUAUUAUUACGCCCUGACAGGAACACCGUCGAUGUCUUAAGCAGUCCGUGUACCCUGAACGUUACACCGCCGCUUUUACGUAGAGUAAGAUUUAUUCUCGCGCGAGUUUCGUCGAACUUGCCCAUAAUAUGGCGGUUAUUUAUUAAAAUUGGUCCGAUGACGAAUGCGGCAGCGACGUAAUAUGCGGGACAGCGAAUAAAAUACGGUAGCACGAGCCUUCUUAUAGGUGUACUCGAGUACAGUAGGUGGAAAUGAUACAGCGAGGUCGUAAAGUUGGUCGGUAAAGUUAAUUUACAAUUUUCCACGACCGCAAGCGUAGUAAGACUAUUCGAGGCAAAAGUAAGCUUCCGCGCACUUACAUCGAACUUUGCACUUUGCACGGGAUAAUC
Molecule: RNA transcript, 2778 nt
Organism: Bombus impatiens (common eastern bumble bee)
Lineage: Eukaryota; Metazoa; Arthropoda; Insecta; Hymenoptera; Apidae
Gene name: ataxin-10
Exons: 7
Source: RefSeq, a predicted model, not a curated record